UACGUAGGGUCCGAGCGUUGUCCGGAAUUAUUGGGCGUGAAGGGCUCGUAGGCGGUUUGUCGCGUCGGGAGUGAAAACACGGGGCUUAACCCCGUGCCUGCUUCCGAUACGGGCAGACUAGAGGUAUGCAGGGGAGAACGGAAUUCCUGGUGUAGCGGUGAAAUGCGCAGAUAUCAGGAGGAACACCGGUGGCGAAGGCGGUUCUCUGGGCAUUACCUGACGCUGAGGAGCGAAAGUGUGGGGAGCGAACAGG
RNAcentral lists this ribosomal RNA (253 nucleotides) under uncultured bacterium. RNAcentral describes it as "partial 16S ribosomal RNA". It matches the Rfam family "Bacterial small subunit ribosomal RNA", at positions 524 to 776 of the family's 1533-position model. The record is from RNAcentral.